This 751-nucleotide ribosomal RNA is filed under the name uncultured Bacilli bacterium. Its description in RNAcentral is "bacterial SSU rRNA". It matches the Rfam family "Bacterial small subunit ribosomal RNA", at positions 28 to 750 of the family's 1533-position model. The record is from RNAcentral. Lineage: Bacteria; Bacillati; Bacillota; Bacilli.
GACGAACGCUGGCGGCGUGCCUAAUACGUGCAAGUCGAACGCUUCUUUCCUCCCGAGUGCUUGCACUCAAUUGGAAAGAGGAGUGGCGGACGGGUGAGUAACACGUGGGUAACCUACCCAUCAGAGGGGGAUAACACUUGGAAACAGGUGCUAAUACCGCAUAACAGUUUAUGCCGCAUGGCAUAAGAGUGAAAGGCGCUUUCGGGUGUCGCUGAUGGAUGGACCCGCGGUGCAUUAGCUAGUUGGUGAGGUAACGGCUCACCAAGGCCACGAUGCAUAGCCGACCUGAGAGGGUGAUCGGCCACACUGGGACUGAGACACGGCCCAGACUCCUACGGGAGGCAGCAGUAGGGAAUCUUCGGCAAUGGACGAAAGUCUGACCGAGCAACGCCGCGUGAGUGAAGAAGGUUUUCGGAUCGUAAAACUCUGUUGUUAGAGAAGAACAAGGACGUUAGUAACUGAACGUCCCCUGACGGUAUCUAACCAGAAAGCCACGGCUAACUACGUGCCAGCAGCCGCGGUAAUACGUAGGUGGCAAGCGUUGUCCGGAUUUAUUGGGCGUAAAGCGAGCGCAGGCGGUUUCUUAAGUCUGAUGUGAAAGCCCCCGGCUCAACCGGGGAGGGUCAUUGGAAACUGGGAGACUUGAGUGCAGAAGAGGAGAGUGGAAUUCCAUGUGUAGCGGUGAAAUGCGUAGAUAUAUGGAGGAACACCAGUGGCGAAGGCGGCUCUCUGGUCUGUAACUGACGCUGAG